UUCUACUGAUUUGAAGAGCUUGCUCAGAUAUGACGAUGGACAUUGCAAAGAGUGGCGAACGGGUGAGUAACACGUGGGAAACCUACCUCUUAGCAGGGGAUAACAUUUGGAAACAGAUGCUAAUACCGUAUAACAAUGACAACCGCAUGGUUGUUAUUUAAAAGAUGGUUCUGCUAUCACUAAGAGAUGGUCCCGCGGUGCAUUAGCUAGUUGGUAAGGUAAUGGCUUACCAAGGCGAUGAUGCAUAGCCGAGUUGAGAGACUGAUCGGCCACAAUGGGACUGAGACACGGCCCAUACUCCUACGGGAGGCAGCAGUAGGGAAUCUUCCACAAUGGGCGAAAGCCUGAUGGAGCAACGCCGCGUGUGUGAUGAAGGGUUUCGGCUCGUAAAACACUGUUGUAAGAGAAGAAUGACAUUGAGAGUAACUGUUCAAUGUGUGACGGUAUCUUACCAGAAAGGAACGGCUAAAUACGUGCCAGCAGCCGCGGUAAUACGUAUGUUCCAAGCGUUAUCCGGAUUUAUUGGGCGUAAAGCGAGCGCAGACGGUUAUUUAAGUCUGAAGUGAAAGCCCUCAGCUCAACUGAGGAAUUGCUUUGGAAACUGGAUGACUUGAGUGCAGUAGAGGAAAGUGGAACUCCAUGUGUAGCGGUGAAAUGCGUAGAUAUAUGGAAGAACACCAGUGGCGAAGGCGGCUUUCUGGACUGUAACUGACGUUGAGGCUCGAAAGUGU
RNAcentral lists this ribosomal RNA (731 nucleotides) under Weissella confusa. RNAcentral describes it as "bacterial SSU rRNA". It matches the Rfam family "Bacterial small subunit ribosomal RNA", at positions 69 to 762 of the family's 1533-position model. Lineage: Bacteria; Bacillati; Bacillota; Bacilli; Lactobacillales; Lactobacillaceae. The record is from RNAcentral.